CAGUCGCCGCGGUAAGACAGAGGAUGCAAGCGUUAUCCGGAUUUAUUGGGUUUAAAGGGUCCGUAGGCGGACUUAUAAGUCAGUGGUGAAAGCCUGUCGCUUAACGAUAGAACUGCCAUUGAUACUGUAAGUCUUGAGUAUAUUUGAGGUAGCUGGAAUAAGUAGUGUAGCGGUGAAAUGCAUAGAUAUUACUUAGAACACCAAUUGCGAAGGCAGGUUACCAAGAUAUAACUGACGCUGAGGGACGAAAGCGUGGGUAGCGAACAGGAUUAGAUACCCGCGUAGUCCCUGUCUCUUAUAC
This 301-nucleotide ribosomal RNA is filed under the name uncultured bacterium. Its description in RNAcentral is "partial 16S ribosomal RNA". It matches the Rfam family "Bacterial small subunit ribosomal RNA", at positions 509 to 807 of the family's 1533-position model. The record is from RNAcentral.